This 948-nucleotide long non-coding RNA is filed under the name Homo sapiens (human). RNAcentral describes it as "HSALNT0008244". The record is from RNAcentral. Lineage: Eukaryota; Metazoa; Chordata; Mammalia; Primates; Hominidae.
UAAUUAUAUAAAAGAUUUCUCAAAAUCUUGAAGUCUAUUCAAACAUUGAGGCUAAGGGAUUAUGUAUCACAGGAGUAAUGAGAACUCUAGAAAAAUAACUUGACAACAAAAAGUCCUUAUAGUUAUAUAUUAAAUAUCAAGAAAAUCAAUGGGAAAUCUUUGUUAUUUGUGAUUAAAAAACAUACAUGGUUAAUUUUCAUGUUACUGUAGAGCUUUGCCUCAACAUGACCAGUCGCCAUGUGAGUUAUUUUGUUUUGCAACCUGGAUAUUAAACAUUCCAGAGUCUUCAGCUUUCUUAUCAGCACAGAAAAGGCAAUUUAUAGCACAGUACCUUUAUAAGCAAAGACAUUUUAUGUAAGUAAUUUGCUACAGAAUUCUCUCUCAAAGCUGAUUUGAUUCUUAAAGAGAAUUCUUCAUUGUAAAUUCUUGAUUCUACAAGUAUGAAAAAAAAAUCAGGCUAUUAUCACUCUUGAAGACAGACCUUCUAUUUCUAAUUUCAUAUUUUCCUUCCCAAAGUGGGGUUUAUAUUAUUCUAUUUCCACUAUUUUGACAUGACUUUAGGACAUUAAUGGGUUGGGCAAGGCCACCAGGAUUUUAUUUGUCAGAGAUUGUGCUGUUUUUGCAGAAUUGUUCAAAAGGACACUGAAAUGGGUUACAUCUCUAACAGGGUGAAGGAGACCCUAGUAUAGAAGAAUUAAUGGGAUCCCAGAAAAAAAGAGAGCUUAGGUCCCACAGAAGGGCUAUAAUCAAUCCCUACGAAAAUCUAGUACUCCCAGAUUCCUGAGCCUUUAGGCCUCAGCAAAGUGGAUGGAAUGCAAAACCUAGUCCUCAUACUAUGGCUCAGAGAAAUGAAAGAAACUGGCAUUAGAGAAGAUGGGAAGAGUGACAAAGUACAAAUGUAAAGAAAGAGAGAAAGAGCAUGAAAGAUCUAUUGCUGGCCAGGUGUGG